Molecule: non-coding RNA, 89 nt
Organism: Omnitrophica WOR_2 bacterium
Lineage: Bacteria; Pseudomonadati; Candidatus Omnitrophota
Source: Rfam
GGAGAGGUGCCAGAGUGGUUGAAUGGAGCUGACUGCUAAUCAGUUGAACGGUGCAAAUCGUUCCUCGGGUUCGAAUCCCGGCCUCUCCG